UGCGCAGGUGGGGGUGUAAGUCAGUGGUGAAAUGUUGCCGCUUAACGGUAAAAUUGCCAUUGAUACUGCAUCUCUUGAGUAUGGUUGAGGUAGGCGGAAUGUGUUGUGUAGCGGUGAAAUGCAUAGAUAUGACACAGAACACCGAUUGCGAAGGCAGCUUACUAAGCCAUUACUGACGCUGAGGCACGAAAGCGUGGGGAGCGAACAGGAUUAGAUACCCUGGUAGUC
This 228-nucleotide ribosomal RNA is filed under the name uncultured bacterium. RNAcentral's name for it is "partial 16S ribosomal RNA". It matches the Rfam family "Bacterial small subunit ribosomal RNA", at positions 568 to 795 of the family's 1533-position model. The record is from RNAcentral.